UACGUAGGGUGCAAGCGUUACUCGGAAUUACUGGGCGUAAAGCGUGCGCAGGCGGUUAUAUAAGACAGUUGUGAAAUCCCCGGGCUCAACCUGGGAACUGCAUCUGUGACUGUAUAGCUAGAGUACGGUAGAGGGGGAUGGAAUUCCGCGUGUAGCAGUGAAAUGCGUAGAUAUGCGGAGGAACACCGAUGGCGAAGGCAAUCCCCUGGACCUGUACUGACGCUCAUGCACGAAAGCGUGGGGAGCAAACAGG
This 253-nucleotide ribosomal RNA is filed under the name uncultured bacterium. RNAcentral describes it as "partial 16S ribosomal RNA". It matches the Rfam family "Bacterial small subunit ribosomal RNA", at positions 524 to 776 of the family's 1533-position model. The record is from RNAcentral.